CGACAUGAUAGACCUUUCACAGUUUCAAUGGCAAAUGCGGGGCCAAAUACAAAUGGCUCUCAGUUCUUUAUUACCACUGUAGCUACUCCGUGGCUGGACAAUAAGCACACUGUUUUUGGUAGAGUUAUAAAGGGCAUGGAUGUUGUACAGGCUAUUGAGAAAGUGAAGACAGACAAGGCAGACAAGCCAUAUCAAGAUGUAAAGAUCCUAAACGUGACUGUCCCCAAGUCAUAGGCGUUGUUUUCCAUUGAGUGUACAAUCUGUGUAUACAUGGUUGGAGGUCCACAUUAACAAUUAUUGGCUGCCAAAACAAAAACAUAUUUCAGGAAGUCUUUUGUUUGUUUUCUCAACCACUGUUCCAUGCAGUGUUUCAGACUACAAUCAUGAGUCCAUUAUUUGAGAAGAUUAAAAGUGUUGGCGUAGACAUCCUGUUCGAGCUUCAAGGAAGAAAGACCGGAAAAAAAAAAAAAAAAAAAA
Pistacia vera is the source of this 477-nucleotide long non-coding RNA. RefSeq lists it as uncharacterized. Lineage: Eukaryota; Viridiplantae; Streptophyta; Magnoliopsida; Sapindales; Anacardiaceae. The record is from RefSeq and is a predicted model, not a curated record. The transcript is spliced from 2 exons.